This 446-nucleotide ribosomal RNA is filed under the name uncultured bacterium. RNAcentral's name for it is "partial 16S ribosomal RNA". It matches the Rfam family "Bacterial small subunit ribosomal RNA", at positions 29 to 523 of the family's 1533-position model. The record is from RNAcentral.
AACGAACGCUGGCGGCAGGCUUAACACAUGCAAGUCGAACGCCCCGCAAGGGGAGUGGCAGACGGGUGAGUAACGCGUGGGAAUCUACCCAUCUCUGCGGAAUAGCUCCGGGAAACUGGAAUUAAUACCGCAUACGCCCUACGGGGGAAAGAUUUAUCGGGGAUGGAUGAGCCCGCGUUGGAUUAGCUAGUUGGUGGGGUAAAGGCCUACCAAGGCGACGAUCCAUAGCUGGUCUGAGAGGAUGAUCAGCCACAUUGGGUCUGAGACACGGCCCAAACUCCUACGGGAGGCAGCAGUGGGAAUAUUGGACAAUGGGCGCAAGCCUGAUCCAGCCAUGCCGCGUGAGUGAUGAAGGCCUUAGGGUUGUAAAGCUCUUUCACCGGUGAAGAUAAUGACGGUAACCGGAGAAGAAGCCCCGGCUAACUCCGUGCCAGCAGCCGCGGUAA